GUACAAAACUGCCUCUGCUCGCACAAAGCAGCCUCUGCUCGAGUACGAAACAAUCCCACCACCGCUGCGGUAAAUUUGUGCCAAAAGUCACGUGAUGCAUUAAGAGUUGUUGUUGUUGUUGUUCAGACUUCCCGACAGCAGGGGGCGCACCCGAAAGAAACUGAAAUGCGCCGGUUUGGCUGAGGAAGAAAGACGUGACACCAUAGCUCAGUGCAGCUAACAGCAUCAGCACCCCACAGCAUCCACUGAUGAGGUGAAGGUCAUCAAAGUUCUGGGCUGGAUGGAAGGCUACCAGAUCAUCAACCUGCUUUGAGACACGCCGACUUCCAUCACAAGACUACCAAGACUUGAACAAUUCAAAAUUUUAUGUAAUCUUUAAACAUACGGCAGAUGAUUUGAGCUUGUUUAAAAAUAACUUAAUAUGUAACCGUUUUAGUUCCCAGUAUUAACUACUUUGAUCACUAACUGUUGCAGCAUGUCCUUCAUAGCUCUUAGUGGAGCCGUUUAGGCUGGAAAAAAAAGGCCAGGUUUGAGGUUCUGAAUUUCCUGACAGUCUUACAUGCAGAAAUUGUUUUUCAUAGUCCUGUUUUUGGCUUCAUCCAUUUCAUCAGCCAGUUUGUUUUAUACAGCCCGCUUUAUGGUAAUACAUGGAUUGUUUACUGGGAAAAACCUGGAGAAUUAAUGGAGUUCUUUCAGUCUUGAUUUCAACAAUAAAAGCAAUCCUUGUGGAAA
Fundulus heteroclitus (mummichog) is the source of this 732-nucleotide long non-coding RNA. RefSeq lists it as uncharacterized. The transcript is spliced from 2 exons. NCBI's taxonomy places the organism in Eukaryota, Metazoa, Chordata, Actinopteri, Cyprinodontiformes, Fundulidae. The record is from RefSeq and is a predicted model, not a curated record.